Molecule: long non-coding RNA, 404 nt
Organism: Sapajus apella (tufted capuchin)
Lineage: Eukaryota; Metazoa; Chordata; Mammalia; Primates; Cebidae
Exons: 3
Source: RefSeq, a predicted model, not a curated record
UGCUGGGAUUACAGGCGUGAGCCACCGCACCUGGCCUCCUUGAAAACCUUGAGAGAAUUGAAGGUCCUCCUGGCCUUCAUGGUUCCCAGAUUUUGAACCCCUGCACUAGGUACUCUCAACUCUACCCUGAAGUCAAGCCGCACCAGCAAAGCUGAUGCGUGAUCUCUUAUUCGGGCCGCUCUAAAACUUGUUCCGUUGAAUCGUGUUUUGCCAUUAAGCAUCCGCUGAGGUUGAGGAGGGCUGUCAGUUACUUACUGUGUUGUUGUAAGUGUAUAGUGUGUGCUGAUCUCACUCCUGGCUUUAUCUUUUUUUUUUUUUUUUUUCCUACCAUCAUUUUACUUCUGUCCUAAUUUCUUUAUCUCUUUGAAUUAAAUUUGUUAAUUUAAUUAAAUUGAAAAUAUAUC